AUGCCACUGAGCUAUAUCCCCGACAAAGUAGCAUUCUUUGAAAACCAGGUUUUAGUCAGGCCGGGCGUACUGGUGCACGCCUGUAAUCCCAGCACCGAGAGGCUGAGGCAGGAGGGCUGUUGUGUGUUUGAGGCCAGCCUGGAUUACACAGUUAGUUCAAGGCCCGUGAACUACGCAGUGAGACCCUGUCUCAAAAAAAAAAAAAAAAAAAAAAAAAACCUCAAAACAACAACAAAACCCCUGGCCUCCCAGCGGGGAACACCUGUCAUUCCAGCUGUCUCGGAGGCUGAAGCAGGAGGAGGGCAAAUUCAAGCCCAGCCUGAGCAACUUAGUGAGACCCUGUCUCAAAACUAGGGCCAAGGGGGGCUGGGGAUUUAGCUCAGCGGCACAGAGCCUGCCUGGCAAGCGCAAGGUCGUGAGUUCGAUUCCCGGUACCGGAAAAAAACAAAACACAAAAAACA
This 461-nucleotide long non-coding RNA is filed under the name Chinchilla lanigera (long-tailed chinchilla). RNAcentral's name for it is "lncRNA (ENSCLAG00000027735.1)". The record is from RNAcentral. Lineage: Eukaryota; Metazoa; Chordata; Mammalia; Rodentia; Chinchillidae.